GCGCGCGUAGCUCAAUUGGCAGAGCGGUCGCCUUAUACGCGAUUGGUUCCAGGUUCAAGUCCUGGCGCGCGCA
This 73-nucleotide transfer RNA is filed under the name Candidatus Campbellbacteria bacterium CG22_combo_CG10-13_8_21_14_all_43_18. RNAcentral's name for it is "tRNA-Ile". It matches the Rfam family "tRNA". Rfam says of the family: Transfer RNA (tRNA) molecules are approximately 80 nucleotides in length. Lineage: Bacteria; Candidatus Campbelliibacteriota. The record is from RNAcentral.